RNAcentral lists this ribosomal RNA (512 nucleotides) under uncultured Gammaproteobacteria bacterium. Its description in RNAcentral is "bacterial SSU rRNA". It matches the Rfam family "Bacterial small subunit ribosomal RNA", at positions 880 to 1392 of the family's 1533-position model. The record is from RNAcentral. Lineage: Bacteria; Pseudomonadati; Pseudomonadota; Gammaproteobacteria.
GUACGGCCGCAAGGUUAAAACUCAAAUGAAUUGACGGGGGCCCGCACAAGCGGUGGAGCAUGUGGUUUAAUUCGAUGCAACGCGAAGAACCUUACCUACUCUUGACAUCCAGAGAACUUAGCAGAGAUGCUUUGGUGCCUUCGGGAACUCUGAGACAGGUGCUGCAUGGCUGUCGUCAGCUCGUGUUGUGAAAUGUUGGGUUAAGUCCCGCAACGAGCGCAACCCUUAUCCUUUGUUGCCAGCGGUUCGGCCGGGAACUCAAAGGAGACUGCCAGUGAUAAACUGGAGGAAGGUGGGGAUGACGUCAAGUCAUCAUGGCCCUUACGAGUAGGGCUACACACGUGCUACAAUGGCAUAUACAAAGAGAAGCGACCUCGCGAGAGCAAGCGGACCUCAUAAAGUAUGUCGUAGUCCGGAUUGGAGUCUGCAACUCGACUCCAUGAAGUCGGAAUCGCUAGUAAUCGUAGAUCAGAAUGCUACGGUGAAUACGUUCCCGGGUCUUGUACACACCG